RNAcentral lists this long non-coding RNA (1827 nucleotides) under Ananas comosus (pineapple). Its description in RNAcentral is "long non-coding RNA (ACOM_LNC014672)". Lineage: Eukaryota; Viridiplantae; Streptophyta; Magnoliopsida; Poales; Bromeliaceae. The record is from RNAcentral.
UAUAUAUAUAUAUAUAUACAUAUAUACAUAUAUAUAUAUAUAUAUAUAUAUAUAUAUAUAUAUAUAUAUAUGAGUCCGGCUACUAUACUAUUGAUAGUACCAAGCCUUUGGUAGUAUAGAGUUUUCUACCGUUAGAUCUACCCUGUGAUCAUUUUCACCCGUUAGAUUAUACUAUUAAAUCAACCACCCACUCAACCCUAGGGGAUCAUUAUCAUCCUAACCGCACAUCCUUUCAUCCAACAGCCAAAAACUCAAUAGUACCAAGGGCUUGGUACUAUUGAUAGUAUUGGAGCAUAAUUCUAUAUAUAUAUAUAUAUAUAUAUAUAGUCCGGUUAGUAUAUUAUCAACAGUACCAAGAUCUUGCUACUAUCGAAUUUUUUGCCGUUAGUUCUAUCAUUUGAUCAUCUUUACUCGUUAAAUUAUACUAUUUAACCAACCACCUACUUAACCUUAGGGGACUACUAUCAUCCUAACUGCUCAUCAUUUCAUCCAACAGCCAAAAACUUGAAUAUACCAAAUGUUUGGAAAUAUAGAGUAUUUGAUGCUUUCGAUUUUUUGACCUUUGGAUGAAGAAUUAUAUGGUUGGGAUGAUUGCGAUCCUCCUAGAGAAAGUCGGAAGUACUGGAUUCUAUAUACUUCCGAUAGCAUAGUAGCUCUCUCUCUCUCUCUCUCUCUCUCUCUCUCUCUCUCUCUCUCUCUCUCUAUAUAUAUAUAUAUGUAGAAUCCAGCUACUAUACUCUUAUGAGUACGAUCGCUUUCGUACUCAUAAGUCGUUUUUGAUGAUAGAGCUUCCGAAUCGACGAUCCAUACCGUUAAACAUUUUCUAGAGCAUUUAAAACUUCUAGAAAUUAAAUUUUAUAAUUUUUCGAUAUCAUUUACCUUAUGAUCAAUAGCUCACAAAAUUAACAAUUUUUAACGGCCGGUAUGUGAUACUUGCUAGUUUAACGGUGUAAAAGUAUCAGAAUAGCUUGAAUUUUUGAUAGAAAAUUCUAUUCAUUACCUAGAUAAAGAUCAAUAACCCCGAUAUUAAAUUGAAGGAUCCGAUCAUCCAUUUUUAGGACGUCGUUCGAUUUUGACCGUUCAUUUUAUAUCCGCUUGAUGGACUUUAUAAUGAUUUCGAAAAGUCACGAAAUUUAUUUUUUAGAAGUUUCAAAUACUCUAGAUCAUGUUUAACGGUGUGGAUCGUCGAUUCGGAAGCCCGAACAUCGUAAACAACUUAUGAGUACGAAGGGCUCUAUACUCAUAAGAGUAUAGUAGCCCUACUCUCUCUAUAUUUAUAGAACUAGGCUACUAUACUAUCGGUAGCACAGAGUGCUCCGGGCUACCAAGUUGUUUUCGAUGAUGCGGCUUUCAAAUCGACGACCGGCUCCGUUAGACUUGAUCUAUACUAUUGAAAGUAUUUAGAAACUAAAUUUCAUAAUUUUUCGCUAUCAUUUACCUAUCAAACAAGUAGUCUAAAAUUGAACGACUGAAAAUAAAAAUUUCAUGAAAAUGAUGAUAAAAGAUUUAAUUGAAGAUCAGGUAUACUGAUCUUACUCUAAAUAGUGAAAAGAAUUUUUUAUAAAAUUUUCAUCGCAUUUGGAUUGUUUUAUACCGUUAAACUCACAAACACACCACAUCGGCCAUUAAAAUUGUCAAUUUUGAGAUCUUUUGAUCACUAGUCAAAUGAUGUCGAAAAAAUUUGAAAUUUAGUUUCCAACAUGACUCUAAUUAUAUAUAUAUUUUGUAGAGAAAUAAAAUAAUUGAGAUUCAUGUUAUUUAUGUUUGUUAGAUAUUAAAUUUUAUUGAAUAAAAUAUAGGUAUGUGAAGUUUGAACACGAAUGUGAG